AGAUGUUAAAAGCAAGAGACAUGGGAGAGCAUCAUUCCUUUGAGAUUUUAUAACUCAAACCAACUUUGGAGUUGUCUGAUUUGGAGAGUCAUCAUUCUUGGUCUUCGCUCUUAGAGGCCACUGAUGAACAGGCGGUGACUGGGAUGAAUGCUGGUCAGAGAGGAGAAUCUUCUUUCCCCUAAACUGAUGCAGCGGUGGUUUUAAAGGAGGACGCUGGCCUGGAUGAUGUAGAAGAUGUCACAUGCUGUGCUGAUGGGGUUUCUUCAUGAUUACAUCAGUUAUGCUAAAGAGAUCAUGAAAAUUGACCGUGAUGCAUGAUCUGUAUUCAUGGACUAUGAAACAAACUGUAAGUGUAUAAUUUGUUAAAAAAAAAAAGUUAAAUGCUUUUUCUGUGUUGUUUAGUAGAAGAGUUUACACUCUGUCAUUCAUACACCUGCUCACAUUCUUUCACACACACACACACACACACACACAAAUGCGUCUGUUAAAUGUUAUAAUAUCAAAGUUAAUGUUGUGAUUUAUUUGUGUACUGUCAUGCCAGAAUAGUUGGAAAAAAACCUAACUAAUUGUAAAUUUAUUGUAUAAGUGUUUUCGUAUAUUUUUAUACAAUAUAUACAAUUGAACAAAGUCCAAUUUGAUCUUAAGUUAUAUUCAUCAAAUGUUCAAUGCUUUGUUUAUGAAUUCUGUAGCUGUUAAUGCCAUCCUUUUCUGCAUUUCUUCUAACAUGUUACUUUUUGACUUUUCUCUUGUUUUUAAUAAAUAUUUUCCUUUUGAUAAUUAU
Molecule: long non-coding RNA, 781 nt
Organism: Carassius gibelio (silver crucian carp)
Lineage: Eukaryota; Metazoa; Chordata; Actinopteri; Cypriniformes; Cyprinidae
Exons: 3
Source: RefSeq, a predicted model, not a curated record